CCUGCCCCAAGAUUGUAGGUAUGGCUGCUGUGUUGCAUGUGUGUCUGUAAGGGGCAGAGAAAAGAGAAGCUAUAUCUACACUCAGUGUUAUGACCUAUGGACAUCUGAAUGAUUAGUAGUUUAACAUU
Molecule: small nucleolar RNA, 128 nt
Organism: Rattus norvegicus (Norway rat)
Lineage: Eukaryota; Metazoa; Chordata; Mammalia; Rodentia; Muridae
Product: small nucleolar RNA SNORA17
Source: Ensembl